This 1467-nucleotide long non-coding RNA is filed under the name Rattus norvegicus (Norway rat). Its description in RNAcentral is "long non-coding RNA NONRATT010237". The record is from RNAcentral. Lineage: Eukaryota; Metazoa; Chordata; Mammalia; Rodentia; Muridae.
CUCUUCACUCACACCAUCUUCUAUAAUGAGUAUCCUGGAGGUUCUCGUGAACUGGAUCGAAGCAUUCGAGGUGGAGAACUCUUUCUGACAGUGCUGCUUAAUCCGAUCAGUGUCUUUAUGACCCAUCUGUCCAACUAUGGGAACGACCGGCUGGGCCUGUACACCUUUGAGAGCCUGGUGCGCUUCCUCCAGUGCUGGACACGGCUGCGGCUGCAGACCCUUCCCCCUGUGCCUCUUGCCCAGAAGUACUUUGAACUUUUCCCUCAGGAACGAAGCCCCCUUUGGCAGGUAAGGGUGGAGCUCAGGCUGACCUGUUCUGAUGGGGUCAGGGUUUACAAGAUUAGUCCUUAUCAGAUUCGUGGCCUAACCUUCAGAAUCCCUGUGACGACAAGAGGCACAAAGAUAUCUGGUCCAAGGAGAAAACCUGUGACCGACUCCCCAAGUUCCUCAUUGUGGGACCACAGAAGACAGGCACCACAGCCAUUCACUUCUUCCUGAGCCUGCACCCCGCAGUGACAAGCAGUUUCCCCAGCCCUAGCACCUUUGAGGAAAUUCAGUUCUUCAAUGGCCCCAAUUACCACAAGGGCAUCGACUGGUAUAUGGACUUCUUCCCUGUUCCUUCCAAUGCCAGCACUGACUUCCUGUUUGAAAAGAGUGCCACCUACUUUGACUCAGAGGUUGUACCUCGGCGGGGGGCUGCCCUUUUGCCAAGAGCCAAGAUCAUCACUGUGCUCAUCAACCCUGCUGACAGGGCCUACUCCUGGUACCAGGUUUGUCUGAAGGAAGGGACACAUUAGGCCUUAAGGGAGAGGUGGAGAAGGUGGUGUCUGCUAGAGACACAGAAAGGAACGAGAGACGGGAACUGAACCAGACAGGAAUAUGGCCAGAGCCAUCGCCAAGGCAGCACCCCGUUCCUUCUCACCCUGUUCUGCAGCACCAGAGAGCACAUGGAGACCCUGUUGCUCUGAACUACACCUUCUACCAAGUGAUUUCAGCUUCCUCCCACGCCCCUCUGCUGCUUCGCUCCUUGCAGAGCCGUUGUCUUGUUCCUGGCUACUAUUCUACCCACCUUCAGCGCUGGCUGACUUACUACCCCUCCGGACAGUUGCUGAUUAUGGAUGGGCAGGAGCUUCGUGUCAACCCAGCAGCCUCAAUGGAGAUCAUCCAGAAGUUCCUGGGUAUCACCCCCUUUCUGAACUACACGAGGACCCUCAGGUGGGAGAGCAUAAGCCAAGAGAAAGAAGGUUUUAUGGGGAAAGGGAAGGAGGUUCUGUUUGGAAGAGACAUUUCUCCCUGUGGGCCAGGAGGGUAGGGUGCGUUUGUAGGGCUUGAAUCUCCCUUCUCCCUGACACCUAAUGCCCUCCCUGUCCCUUUGAGUAGGUUCGAUGCAGAUAAAGGAUUUUGGUGCCAGGGCCUUGAAGGCGGGAAGACUCGCUGUCUAGGGAGAAGCAAAGGCCGGAGGUACCC